UCCUCCUCCUCCUCCUCGGCAACAGUUGGCCGCGCCCUGCGGCAUCCUCCUGCCCGGCGCGGCCCCCGGGAGCGGCACAACGCGGGGGUGCCUUAGCAUCACAAGAAGCAGUUACAUGCCUGCACUCAGUUGUCUGACGGGUCGUGCCAUGGACCACCCACUAAGAGUCUGUUGAACCAGCCCAGAGGUACUCAAGCACCAUGGACCUGAUGCAUGGUUCAGUACUGCAUGGUUCCCAAACUUACACGGAACUUAGCCAGUUGGAGAGAGGAGGAAGAGGAGGAAUAGUCCAGACUCGUUACAUCUCAUUGCAUCUCUGCAUGCUGACUUGAUAACUAGCAGAUAUAGCAUAUACACCAAACACAAAAUUUAAGUGGUAAAUGUGGGGUUUCUAUCAUACUGCAUGUGAUUAUCAUUGGAAGGGCAUUUUUCAGAAAAUAUUCUUCUAGUUUUGAUGGAUAUGUGUGGAUGAUUUGUAUAGUGUACUAUAGAAAUAGUUGACAGCAUCUAUAUGUUAACAUUUCUGUAGCAGCAUGGCUAGUAGACUGAACCAAUUAUUCCUACCAGUUAUUCCUCAGUGGGCAUAACACCUGUUGUUGUUCUGUUCCCAGCCAAUAAUCUUCCACUGCUGACCAGUCGGACUCAAUUAUAUAGAGAAUAAAUGGAAACUGGACAAUCAAAA
Molecule: long non-coding RNA, 682 nt
Organism: Rhea pennata
Lineage: Eukaryota; Metazoa; Chordata; Aves; Rheiformes; Rheidae
Exons: 3
Source: RefSeq, a predicted model, not a curated record